GUUUUGGGUAAUGGCAGCGUGGAAUCCAGGGUGGAAUUCCGCUAGUGUGUGUUCUUGCCUUAUCUGUGAAAUUCCAGACAUUAUCAGCCUGGCCAUUGUUUGCUUAUGUCUGAGAUCCCAAACCUCCAAGAUGCUUGAGGAACCAGUCACUGCAGAUCUUUUUAGUUCUCGAAACCAGAUCACAGGUGUGGAAGAGGAGUCUCAAUAGUCAAGCUUGACCCAGGCCAACGCACUGUUGCAACAUCGUUCCAUCUGACUUCCUGAGACUCUGUUACGUACAUUUCCUAUGGAGAGUGACAAGGUAAAUCUUUGGAAUGCAGGAGAGAGAUCUGGAUUUUACUGAAACACCUAUCAGA
Molecule: long non-coding RNA, 356 nt
Filed under: Fukomys damarensis (Damara mole-rat)
Lineage: Eukaryota; Metazoa; Chordata; Mammalia; Rodentia; Bathyergidae
Description: lncRNA (ENSFDAG00000031673.1)
Source: RNAcentral